RNAcentral lists this transfer RNA (90 nucleotides) under Eubacteriaceae bacterium. Its description in RNAcentral is "tRNA-Ser". It matches the Rfam family "tRNA". From Rfam's summary of the family: Transfer RNA (tRNA) molecules are approximately 80 nucleotides in length. Their secondary structure includes four short double-helical elements and three loops (D, anti-codon, and T loops). The record is from RNAcentral. Lineage: Bacteria; Bacillati; Bacillota; Clostridia; Eubacteriales; Eubacteriaceae.
GGAGGGGUGUCCGAGUGGUUGUAAGGAGCUGGUCUUGAAAACCAGUGAUCUCGUAAGGGACCGUGGGUUCGAAUCCCACCCCCUCCGCCA